UCCGGUUGAUCCUGCCAGAGGUUACUGCUAUCGGUGUUCGACUAAGCCAUGCGAGUCAAAUGUUCUUCGUGAACAUGGCGGACUGCUCAGUAACACGUGGAUAACCUGCCCUUAGGUUUGGCAUAACUCCGGGAAACUGGAGAUAAUUCCGAAUAGGUCAAAUAUGCUGGAAUGCUUUUUGGCCAAAAGACUUCGGUUGCCUAAGGAUGGAUCUGCGGUCUAUCAGGUAGUAGUGGGUGUAACGUACCUACUAGCCUACGACGGAUAUGGGUUGUGAGAGCAAGAGCCCAGAGAUGGAUUCUGAGACAUGAAUCCAGGCCCUACGGGGCGCAGCAGGCGCGAAAACUUUACAAUGCGGGAAACCGCGAUAAGGGGACACCGAGUGCCAGCAUUUAUGUUGGCUGUCCACAUGUGUAAACGGCAUGUGUUAGCAAGGGCCGGGCAAGACCGGUGCCAGCCGCCGCGGUAACACCGGCGGCCCGAGUGGUAAUCACUUUUAUUGGGUCUAAAGGGUCCGUAGCCGGUUUGAUCAGUUCUUCGGGAAAUCUGACAGCUCAACUGUUAGGCUUCCGGGGAAUACUGUCAGACUUGGGAUCGGGAGAGGUGAGAGGUACUACAGGGGUAGGAGUGAAAUCUUGUAAUCCCUGUGGGACCACCAGUGGCGAAGGCGUCUUACCAGAACGGGUCCGACGGUGAGGGACGAAAGCUGGGGGCACGAACCGGAUUAGAUACCCGGGUAGUCCCAGCCGUAAACGAUGUUCGCUAGGUGUCAGGGGCGGUGCGACCGCUUCUGGUGCCGUAGGGAAGCCGUGAAGCGAACCACCUGGGAAGUACGGCCGCAAGGCUGAAACUUAAAGGAAUUGGCGGGGGAGCACUACAACGGGUGGAGCCUGCGGUUUAAUUGGAUUCAACGCCGGA
This 918-nucleotide ribosomal RNA is filed under the name uncultured archaeon. Its description in RNAcentral is "bacterial SSU rRNA". It matches the Rfam family "Archaeal small subunit ribosomal RNA", at positions 1 to 922 of the family's 1478-position model. The record is from RNAcentral.